This 497-nucleotide ribosomal RNA is filed under the name uncultured bacterium. RNAcentral describes it as "partial 16S ribosomal RNA". It matches the Rfam family "Bacterial small subunit ribosomal RNA", at positions 28 to 507 of the family's 1533-position model. The record is from RNAcentral.
GAUGAACGCUGGCGGCGUGCCUAAUACAUGCAAGUCGAGCGAACAGACGAGGAGCUUGCUCCUCUGACGUUAGCGGCGGACGGGUGAGUAACACGUGGAUAACCUACCUAUAAGACUGGGAUAACUUCGGGAAACCGGAGCUAAUACCGGAUAAUAUAUUGAACCGCAUGGUUCAAUAGUGAAAGACGGUUUUGCUGUCACUUAUAGAUGGAUCCGCGCCGCAUUAGCUAGUUGGUAAGGUAACGGCUUACCAAGGCGACGAUGCGUAGCCGACCUGAGAGGGUGAUCGGACACACUGGAACUGAGACACGGUCCAGACUCCUACGGGAGGCAGCAGUAGGGAAUCUUCCGCAAUGGGCGAAAGCCUGACGGAGAAACGCCGCGUGAGUGAUGAAGGUCUUCGGAUCGUAAAACUCUGUUAUUAGGGAAGAACAAAUGUGUAAGUAACUAUGCACGUCUUGACGGUACCUAAUCAGAAAGCCACGGCUAACUACGUG